RNAcentral lists this long non-coding RNA (348 nucleotides) under Phoenix dactylifera (date palm). Its description in RNAcentral is "long non-coding RNA (PDAC_LNC000420)". Lineage: Eukaryota; Viridiplantae; Streptophyta; Magnoliopsida; Arecales; Arecaceae. The record is from RNAcentral.
CGCAGCUAGACAGGGAAAGGGUGUUAUGUGACCCGGCUGGCUUCUUUUUCGCCCAGUUUAGAGCCGGGGACUGGUCGAUCCUUUUCCGAGAGCGAGAACUGCCGUCAAGAGUUGGUGAGCGAGAGGGAAAUAUGGCUAAAGCUUCGAGAGGAAGCAGUCAAGAGUUGGGAAGAUGUUGAAUAAUAACCUUAAUAAUCAUCUCAUUCAGGUCAACCUGCAUAUCAAUGAUAUCAUGCUUCCGGGUGGGUGUUUUAUGUGACAUGAUCAAAGAGCCAACAAGUCAAUAGUCUAAAUCAAGUAUGAUGGUAAAUAAAGGAUCGUAUAAGUUACAUUCGUAUGAGAUAACAN